AUUGAACGCUGGCGGCAUGGCUAAAACAUGCAAGUCGAACGAGAAUCCGCCGCAAGGCGGAGGACAGUGGCGGAAGGGUCAGUAAUGGGAUCGAAUGUACCCCGAGGUGGAGGAUAGCGUCGGGAAACUGACGGUAAUACUCCAUGUCCUCUACGGAGAAAAGAUUUAUCGCCUUGGGAGCAGCGAUCCUCCUAUCAGGUAGUUGGCCGGGGUAAAAGCCCACCAAGCCCGAAGACGGGGUAGCGGGUGUGAGAGCACGGCCCGCGACAUCGAGACUGAGACACUGCUCGGACUCCUACGGGAGGCUGCAGUAACGAAUAUUCCGCAAUGCGCGAAAGCGUGACGGAGCAAUGCCGCGUGCAGGAUGAAGCGGUUUUGCCGUGUAAACUGCUGUCA
This 396-nucleotide ribosomal RNA is filed under the name uncultured bacterium. Its description in RNAcentral is "bacterial SSU rRNA". It matches the Rfam family "Bacterial small subunit ribosomal RNA", at positions 30 to 438 of the family's 1533-position model. The record is from RNAcentral.